CGCCAGCUUCCCGCCCACCGCGGCUUUGCAGCCGAAUGCACACCGGCUCUGCUGCAACCUCUACCUCCUGCCUCUUGUUCUUCUUUAAAAAGCCAGGUGGCGCCAACUCUCAACCCCUGCUAGAGCUGAAGCAUUUCCAGGCUUGCUCAGAGUGGAGCGAAGAGACGGUUGGAAGAGCACAGCUCGGAUUGGCGCUUUCUCUCUGCGCCCUCCGCCGCGUGGAAGCCUUUUCUUCUGCACCCCUCUCAGGAUGACUGCAACCCUAAAGGAAAGCGGAGUGUCCUGUGUGCCACAUGGAGCUUGGGGAAAGGAAAUGAUUAAAGCCGUGAGGUUUCCUGGCUCUUCGCGGUGUUUACGGCUGACUGCAGAAUAAAGCAACACAGAGUGGUAUGGAAUGGAAUGAGAUCAAGGAAGGACUCCGCAUACUAAGGAGCCAGACCUUGAUGUAGAUUAUUUCAAAAUGUUCUCCACUGCAUCCCCAAGCUGGCUAUCUUGCACGACUUAAUGUGAUUCAACAGAAUUGAAACAUCAGAGCACAUGUAGCUUUCAAAAUUCAGACUGACCAUUUCAGCCAUAAACGUUCUCCAAACCAGAGGGAAGUGGGCUUGGAUCUAUGCUACUGCCAAGUCUCCUCUAUUGCUGGUAAUUUUCCUCUCUGUGGAAAAGAAGGCUUGAAGAAAAAGAAAAUGACGCUCCUUUCGCACCUAGGAGGACAGACAUUUGCCCAUGCAUCAAAAGACUUGCCUUCAUCUGGGCUGGAUGUCUGUACCAGGCUGGAUAGUUUCUUCUAAAAUUCAUGUCCACCUGGAUGGAGCCUGUGAAAGCAACCUUAUUUGGCAAUUAGAUCUUUCAGACAUCACCAAACUAAGAUGAGCUCACAUCGGAUUGAUUCAACAUGACUGGUGUCCUAUAAGGGCAGGGAAAUUCAGACACGCUGAGAAGGCCAUGAGAAGGUGGAGGUGGAGACUGGAGGGGUGCAUCUGCAAGCCAAGGAAUGCCGAGGAUAGCUAGCAUCUUCAGAAGCCAGGAGAGGUGAGAAAUAAUGCUUCUGCAGAGGCUUCAAAGGGAACAGU
This is a long non-coding RNA of Chinchilla lanigera (long-tailed chinchilla), 1073 nucleotides long. RefSeq lists it as uncharacterized. The transcript has 5 exons. NCBI's taxonomy places the organism in Eukaryota, Metazoa, Chordata, Mammalia, Rodentia, Chinchillidae. The record is from RefSeq and is a predicted model, not a curated record.